GGGGCAACCCUGACCGAGCAACGCCGCGUGAGUGAAGAAGUUUUCGGAUCGUAAAGCUCUGUUGUAAGCCAAGAACGAGUGUGAGAGUGGAAAGUUCACACUGUGACGGUAGCUUACCAGAAAGGGACGGCUAACUACGUGCCAGCAGCCGCGGUAAUACGUAGGUCCCGAGCGUUGUCCGGAUUUAUUGGGCGUAAAGCGAGCGCAGGCGGUUUGAUAAGUCUGAAGUUAAAGGCUGUGGCUCAACCAUAGUUCGCUUUGGAAACUGUCAAACUUGAGUGCAGAAGGGGAGAGUGGAAUUCCAUGUGUAGCGGUGAAAUGCGUAGAUAUAUGGAGGAACACCGGUGGCGAAAGCGGCUCUCUGGUCUGUAACUGACGCUGAGGCUCGAAAGCGUGGGGAGCGAACAGGAUUAGAUACCCUGGUAGUCCACGCCGUAAACGAUGAGCGCUAGGUGUUGGAUCCUUUCCGGGAUUCAGUGCCGCAGCUAACGCAUUAAGCACUCCGCCUGGGGAGUACGACCGCAAGGUUGAAACUCAAAGGAAUUGACGGGGGCCCGCACAAGCGGUGGAGCAUGUGGUUUAAUUCGAAGCAACGCGAAGAACCUUACCAGGUCUUGA
RNAcentral lists this ribosomal RNA (618 nucleotides) under Streptococcus salivarius. Its description in RNAcentral is "bacterial SSU rRNA". It matches the Rfam family "Bacterial small subunit ribosomal RNA", at positions 374 to 984 of the family's 1533-position model. Lineage: Bacteria; Bacillati; Bacillota; Bacilli; Lactobacillales; Streptococcaceae. The record is from RNAcentral.